UAGGGAAUCUUCCACAAUGGACGCAAGUCUGAUGGAGCAACGCGCGUGAGUGAAGAAGGUUUCGGACCGUAAAGCUCUGUUGUUGGUGAAGAAGGAUAGAGGUAGUAACUGGCCUUUAUUUGACGGUAAUCAACCAGAAAGUCACGGCUAACUACGUGCCAGCAGCCGCGGUAAUACGUAGGUGGCAAGCGUUGUCCGGAUUUAUUGGGCGUAAAGCGAGCGCAGGCGGAAGAAUAAGUCUGAUGUGAAAGCCCUCGGCUUAACCGAGGAAUUGCAUCGGAAACUG
RNAcentral lists this ribosomal RNA (286 nucleotides) under uncultured bacterium. RNAcentral's name for it is "partial 16S ribosomal RNA". It matches the Rfam family "Bacterial small subunit ribosomal RNA", at positions 355 to 635 of the family's 1533-position model. The record is from RNAcentral.